UACGUAGGGGGCUAGCGUUGUCCGGAUUCAUUGGGCGUAAAGAGCUCGUAGGCGGCUGUUCAAGUCGAACGUGAAAACUCGGAGCUCAACUCCGAGCCUGCGUUCGAGACUGGAUGGCUAGAGUCUGGUAGGGGGAUCUGGAAUUCCUGGUGUAGCGGUGGAAUGCGCAGAUAUCAGGAGGAACACCGGUGGCGAAGGCGGCCCUCUGGACGGUGACUGACGCUGAGACGCGAAAGCGUGGGGAGCAAACAGG
Molecule: ribosomal RNA, 253 nt
Filed under: uncultured bacterium
Lineage: Bacteria
Description: partial 16S ribosomal RNA
Rfam family: Bacterial small subunit ribosomal RNA
Source: RNAcentral